GCGUCGGUGGUUCAGUGGUAGAAUACUCGCCUGCCACGCGGGUGGCCCGGGUUCGACUCCCGGCCGACGCA
RNAcentral lists this transfer RNA (71 nucleotides) under Rhipicephalus sanguineus (brown dog tick). Its description in RNAcentral is "transfer RNA glycine (anticodon GCC)". It matches the Rfam family "tRNA". Rfam says of the family: Transfer RNA (tRNA) molecules are approximately 80 nucleotides in length. Their secondary structure includes four short double-helical elements and three loops (D, anti-codon, and T loops). Further hydrogen bonds mediate the characteristic L-shaped molecular structure. tRNAs have two regions of fundamental functional importance: the anti-codon, which is responsible for specific mRNA codon recognition, and the 3' end, to which the tRNAs corresponding amino acid is attached (by aminoacyl-tRNA synthetases). tRNAs cope with the degeneracy of the genetic code in two manners: having more than one tRNA (with a specific anti-codon) for a particular amino acid; and 'wobble' base-pairing, i.e. permitting non-standard base-pairing at the 3rd anti-codon position. The record is from Rfam by way of RNAcentral. Lineage: Eukaryota; Metazoa; Arthropoda; Arachnida; Ixodida; Ixodidae.